Molecule: ribosomal RNA, 424 nt
Filed under: Leptolyngbya sp. big2
Lineage: Bacteria; Bacillati; Cyanobacteriota; Cyanophyceae; Leptolyngbyales; Leptolyngbyaceae
Description: bacterial SSU rRNA
Rfam family: Bacterial small subunit ribosomal RNA
Source: RNAcentral
GGGGAAUCUUCCGCAAUGGGCGCAAGCCUGACGGAGCAACGCCGCGUGAGGGAGGAAUGUCUGUGGAUUGUAAACCUCUUUUCUCUGGGAAGAAGAUCUGACGGUACCAGAGGAAUCAGCAUCGGCUAACUCCGUGCCAGCAGCCGCGGUAAGACGGAGGAUGCAAGCGUUAUCCGGAAUUAUUGGGCGUAAAGCGUCCGUAGGCGGUUACUUAAGUCAGUUGUUAAAGACUGCAGCUCAACUGUGGGAGAGCAACUGAAACUGAGUGACUAGAGUAUGGUAGGGGUAGAGGGAAUUCCUAGUGUAGCGGUGAAAUGCGUAGAUAUUAGGAAGAACACCAGUGGCGAAGGCGCUCUGCUGGGCCAAGACUGACGCUGAUGGACGAAAGCUAGGGGAGCGAAAGGGAUUAGAUACCCCUGUAGUC